Molecule: long non-coding RNA, 507 nt
Organism: Lemur catta (Ring-tailed lemur)
Lineage: Eukaryota; Metazoa; Chordata; Mammalia; Primates; Lemuridae
Exons: 3
Source: RefSeq, a predicted model, not a curated record
GAAGGUAGACAGGCUCUUUCUAAUGUCCUUCCUUCAAGUGGUGGUCACUGCCAGGCCUGCCCACAGAAAGCACCUAAGCGAACUUAAAUGGGAAACUCAGCUCUGCUUUUAUGAUGCUUCAGGAGUAAACUGAGACCAAGUUGUACUUCUUAGCCAUCCUCAAACCCAAACCAGACUCUACUGUCUAAUUUGGAUACCCAGGAAAGUUUGUAGGGCCUGAAGCAAAAGCUGCUCAAAGACUCACUCUUGGCACCCUCAGCCACUCUGUACAAAAGUCAAUCAGCCUGAUAGAGCAAGCAAAUGGAAAAGACUGAGGCCACACUGAGAAGAAGGGCCCAACUGAACAUAGCCUUCCAGACAUACCCACUAAGGCCUCAAGCAUGUUGGGAAAUCUUCCAGGCCAGACCAGCCACCCUCUGCCUAAUACUGAGUAGCCCCAGUCAAUUCAAUGUCACCUAGAGCAGAAGAAUCACCAGGCCACGUGGCUGAUUCUCAGCCACUUGCAUU